RNAcentral lists this transfer RNA (68 nucleotides) under Darevskia nairensis. Its description in RNAcentral is "Darevskia raddei nairensis tRNA-His". It matches the Rfam family "tRNA". From Rfam's summary of the family: Transfer RNA (tRNA) molecules are approximately 80 nucleotides in length. Their secondary structure includes four short double-helical elements and three loops (D, anti-codon, and T loops). Further hydrogen bonds mediate the characteristic L-shaped molecular structure. tRNAs have two regions of fundamental functional importance: the anti-codon, which is responsible for specific mRNA codon recognition, and the 3' end, to which the tRNAs corresponding amino acid is attached (by aminoacyl-tRNA synthetases). tRNAs cope with the degeneracy of the genetic code in two manners: having more than one tRNA (with a specific anti-codon) for a particular amino acid; and 'wobble' base-pairing, i.e. permitting non-standard base-pairing at the 3rd anti-codon position. Lineage: Eukaryota; Metazoa; Chordata; Lepidosauria; Squamata; Lacertidae. The record is from RNAcentral.
GUAAAUAUAGUUUACCCAAAACACUAGACUGUGACUCUAGAAACAGAAGCUGUAUCUUCUUAUUUACC